This 1606-nucleotide long non-coding RNA is filed under the name Strongylocentrotus purpuratus (purple sea urchin). Its description in RNAcentral is "uncharacterized LOC115921171". The record is from RNAcentral. Lineage: Eukaryota; Metazoa; Echinodermata; Echinoidea; Camarodonta; Strongylocentrotidae.
GCCCAGGAUUUGAAUAACUCUUCUAGCCGUUGGUCUCCAAUUUCUACUCACUGAAAAUGCUUCGCAAAACUCCAAAAUAUGUGAGGAAGAGGAAGGUGUUCAAAGGAGAUCAAUACCCGAUAUUACAGAAGAGUAACAUAAAUGCUGCAGAGGUGCCAGAAUAACUAACAGCUAAUUCAGAGAUCGAGGAAGCUUUCCCUGAAUAAGUGUUUGGACAGCCCUAUUUUUGGCCCUGGUCCCACAUGUGAAGAUCCGCGUCAUUAGUGGCCCACAACUUGCAGCUGCUUUGCAAAAGGCUCACGUGUGUCUGGGAGGGCAUCUCAUUCCUGUGGAGAAUUUUUCAAAGAGGAAUGGGUUGAACUGCGCCAUGGUCCUUGGUUGCUUCAUUUGCAAGAAGGAGAAGGACAUUCUCUUCAUCAGAAAAUGAAUGCGAAGGACGUGGAAAGUCUGCAGAAAUAAACCGCAGAGCUACUCUGGCAGCAACGGAGGUUGGUUUGGCACGGGAUAGCUUGUGCGACUUGCUGACCAUCCUCGGAACAGCCCCACUAGUCGAAGCCCCUAGCUACAACAGGCACAUAGCCACUUUAUCUUCCUUAUCCCAAGAGACCAGUAAGGAUCAGAAAAAGAAGGUGGCAGCAUGCCUACCUCAAAGGGCCUUGGACAAGGAUCUGACCGUCAGGGAAAAUGAUUACGUGGACGUGGCAGUGCCCUACGAUGGAACAUGGCAUAGACGAGGUUACACAUCGAAUCAUGGGGUGGGGGUAGUGAUACCGAUCGAUACAGGGGAGAUUGUUUUACACAGAGGGUCUAUCAAAAUCAUGUGAACAGUUUGAGUAUAGAAAGGGUUGGGUCUUCAGUGUUCUCAGCCAGAGGGACCUUGAUCGCCUUCAGAGACUCCAAAAAUGAGCAGCAAGGCUUGUCUUUUCUGCUCCUCUUCGAACUCACAUACAACCUCUUUGACUUGAACUUCAUUGUACAUGUUUAUACAAUGUUUUAGAACAUUUCUGUGCUGCAACUCAGUGCCUUAGUUUUUAUUGUACAUGUUUAUAUAUUUUUAACUUGCCUUUGAUUUUAGUCAUGUUUACAUAAACACUAUAUAUGACAUUUUAGAUAUUUAGAGGAACUAGGGUGAUAUAUAUGUGGGUAUUUAUUACACCUUAGUAGAAUAAGUCCAAGUAAUAUGUGUUGCAAUUAUGAACUUGCCUUUCAUUUGAGUUUUUAUUGUACAUGUUUAUACAAUGUUUUAGAACAAUCCUGUGCUGCAACUCAGUGCCUUAGUUUUUAUUGUACAUGUUUAUAUAUUUUUAACUUGCCUUUCAUUUUAGUCAUGUUUACGUACACACUGUAUAUGACAUUUUAGUUGUUUCUUUUUAACUUGCCGAUUAUUUAGAGGAACUAGGGUGAUAUAUAUGUGGGUAUUUAUUACAUCUUAGUAGAAUAAGUCCAAGUAAUAUGUGUUGCAAUUACGAACUUGCCUUUCAUUUUAGUUUGUAGUGUACAUGUUUAUGUGAUAUAUUUUUUACUUGCCUUUUAUUUUAGUUUUUAGCAUAUGUACAUGCAUACAACUUUUGAUAUAAACCAAAUACAUCCUGCCACUUUCAUUCAA